CUAGCGACUUCAGAGUUUGAUCCUGGCUCAGGACGAACGCUGGCGGCGUGCCUAACACAUGCAAGUCGAGCGAGAAUCUUUAGUUUGAUUCCUUCGGGGAUGAAGACUAAAGAGGAAAGCGGCGGACGGGUGAGUAACGCGUGAGUAACCUGCCUAUCAGAGGGGGACAACAGUUGGAAACGACUGCUAAUACCGCAUAACAUUAUGAAAUCGCAUGAUUUUGUAAUCAAAGAUUUAUCGCUGAUAGAUGGACUCGCGUCUGAUUAGAUAGUUGGUGGGGUAACGGCCUACCAAGUCGACGAUCAGUAGCCGAACUGAGAGGUUGAUCGGCCACAUUGGGACUGAGACACGGCCCAG
This 357-nucleotide ribosomal RNA is filed under the name uncultured bacterium. RNAcentral's name for it is "bacterial SSU rRNA". It matches the Rfam family "Bacterial small subunit ribosomal RNA", at positions 1 to 334 of the family's 1533-position model. The record is from RNAcentral.